UUUCCGUAGGUGAACCUGCGGAAGGAUCAUUCAUAAUAAGUGUUUUAUGGCACUUUUUUAAAUCCAUAUCCUCCUUGUGUGCAAUGUCAGGGUUGAUUUUUCUCUCGAGAGGAUCAACCCCAAACAUCAACUAUAUCUCAACUCUUUGUCUGAAAAAUAUUAUGAAUAAAACAAUUCAAAAUACAACUUUCAACAACGGAUCUCUUGGCUCUC
Molecule: unclassified non-coding RNA, 213 nt
Filed under: plant metagenome
Description: partial contains small subunit ribosomal RNA, internal transcribed spacer 1, and 5.8S ribosomal RNA
Source: RNAcentral